Molecule: small nucleolar RNA, 144 nt
Filed under: Chrysolophus pictus (golden pheasant)
Lineage: Eukaryota; Metazoa; Chordata; Aves; Galliformes; Phasianidae
Description: Small nucleolar RNA SNORA5 (ENSCPIG00010011711.1)
Rfam family: Small nucleolar RNA SNORA5
About the family: ACA5 is a member of the H/ACA class of snoRNA that guide the sites of modification of uridines to pseudouridines.
Source: Rfam by way of RNAcentral
UGCAGUCCCGUUCAAUUCAGUCCCUGCCCUCUCCAUGGCAAGGGCUGGCCAUGCAGCAUGCGGCUGCCACAGCAGAGCUGUAGUCUGUGUGCCCCACAUCCCUUCCUGUGGGACCCUGGGGACAGAAUGGUGCCACAGACAGGC